GCAACAAUAGCUUAAAUUAGAGCACUGGUCUUGUAAGUCAGAGGUGAAAUCGAUAUUCUUGUUGCU
This 66-nucleotide transfer RNA is filed under the name Murex trapa. RNAcentral describes it as "tRNA-Thr". It matches the Rfam family "tRNA". From Rfam's summary of the family: Transfer RNA (tRNA) molecules are approximately 80 nucleotides in length. Their secondary structure includes four short double-helical elements and three loops (D, anti-codon, and T loops). Further hydrogen bonds mediate the characteristic L-shaped molecular structure. tRNAs have two regions of fundamental functional importance: the anti-codon, which is responsible for specific mRNA codon recognition, and the 3' end, to which the tRNAs corresponding amino acid is attached (by aminoacyl-tRNA synthetases). tRNAs cope with the degeneracy of the genetic code in two manners: having more than one tRNA (with a specific anti-codon) for a particular amino acid; and 'wobble' base-pairing, i.e. permitting non-standard base-pairing at the 3rd anti-codon position. The record is from RNAcentral. Lineage: Eukaryota; Metazoa; Mollusca; Gastropoda; Neogastropoda; Muricidae.